RNAcentral lists this ribosomal RNA (253 nucleotides) under uncultured bacterium. RNAcentral describes it as "partial 16S ribosomal RNA". It matches the Rfam family "Bacterial small subunit ribosomal RNA", at positions 524 to 776 of the family's 1533-position model. The record is from RNAcentral.
UACAGAGGUCUCAAGCGUUGUUCGGAUUCAUUGGGCGUAAAGGGUGCGUAGGCGGCGCGGUAAGUCGGGUGUGAAAUCUCGGAGCUUAACUCCGAAACUGCAUUCGAUACUGCCGUGCUUGAGGACUGGAGAGGAGACUGGAAUUUACGGUGUAGCGGUGAAAUGCGUAGAUAUCGUAAGGAAGACCAGUGGCGAAGGCGGGUCUCUGGGACGGUACUGACGCUGAGACGCGAAAGCUAGGGGAGCGAACAGG